AAAAGGUCUGCCGUGGUUCAGAUAAGUGCCCUCCCACCCCCAUGCAAAGGAGGAGGUGAUGAAGCCUUUGAGAGGCGGGGCCUAAUGGGAGAACGAUCACAAGGGGGUGCGCCUUUGAAAGGAGUCUUGGGACCACGGCCUCCUCCUCUCCUUCGCUUCCUGACUGUCUUAAGCAUCAGAAACUUUUCACGACGAUGGUGCUGAAGGUCAAGAAGGAAGAAGCUCCUGCUCAUCCCAAGACUGAAGCCAAGAAGGCGGUGCCCGUGCCGAGAGAGGCGCCCCAGUCACAGGGGAAGAUCUGCACUUCCUCCCUUGUGGCUCUGGAGGCAGCACAAAUACCCUCUCAAAAGCAUGCCGGGAAGAAAGAAGCUUGACCAUUCCACCGUCAUCAGGACCCAGGGCCACCCCCCCCCCCAUCCCAACCACAGAGUCAGCCGUGAAAAAGACUCAAGACCUUAUCACACUUGUGCUCAUCAUCAGAUCAGCACAUAGGGCUCCGCUCCACUGCUAUGCUCCCUGCUAUGAUGACAAUGGACUAAGCCUCUGAAACUGUAAGCUGGCUCCCAGUGGUGACUGGCUAAAAUUGCUGCUGCUCUGCUGACCAUGAAAACCUAAGUUGGUACAGCAACUCAGGAGAGAAGUCUGGGUGUUGGCAAAUUCAAGUUGUAAAUAGCUCUGGAUCAGCAACCCUCAGCAGGUCUUUGGUCUGCUUUGGAGAAACUGUUACUUCAAUGUCUGAAGGCUCUUCACACCUGAAUUUGUAGCACAGAAAAACCGGAAACAACUUAGAUGUCAAUCAUCCAGUGAACAGAGAAGAAAUAAAUCUUGGUAUAUAACAGAAUAAAACUCCAACUGGAUUAGAGGGAGAGUACAGCUUUUCACCAGGAAGUGCAAGGUUCGGUCUCAGCAAACAUUAACUGACGGUUUAUGGGUGGAGUCACAGCUGUCUCUCCAGCAACCCGGCAAAGCAUUGAGGUCAAGAGGUCAAGCACAUGACCUAUACCGCCUACAACCUGCUGGAAAAAUAGGAGCUGGUCUUAUCCGAAUGCCAAGUCCAGCCUGGAAACUCGUAGGAAGAAGUUCUGUUGCCCUUGGCUCCGGGAAUUUGAAUUUAAAACAGAAAUACCCUAAGCUGAGCAUGGUGCCACAUGCCUGCAAUCCCAGCGUUGGGAAAGCAGAGGAGGAAGUACAGAACAGCACGAGCUGUCCGUUGCAAGAAGACAGGAUGCUGGGACCCUCCCCACUGCAGCCUUCUGUCCCCCGCCCCCCCAAGGUGAAGAUCAGGAGUCCCCAUUAGGCAGGCACGCAGGGAGCAGCUACCUUUAAGCACAGUAGGUCAGCCACAGGGCUGGCUGUGGCGAUGCUAAUGGGGGGCUCCCAGAGCUCUCAUAGAUGUAAACGUUCUUUCUGUCCUGACCUCUGUUUGCCUGUCUGGAAAACAGGGACACUGUAAAAGUUGACAGGCCCAGGGCACAGGUUAUUAUGCCCUCAGGUCUCUGUGUGUACUGGUAACAAACCUCCUGUGAACAUCAAACCCCGCUGAUGCUCCGCUCAGACAGACUCAAGUUGUGGGCGUUAGGCAGCCACUGGACAGCUCAGUCCGGGUUGGCGAUGGGGGUGGCCUGGGGGCAGCUCCUAACCCAACAUAACCUUCCCCUCCUCCCUGGAGCUGGCAUGGGUUCACUCAAGUUCUGGAUCUUAUUUUCAACUUAAUGGCUUAAGAAAAAAAAGAGAGAGAGAGAGAGAGAGAGAGAGAAGGAUGAAAAUAAACUCAACCCUAUGACUGUGGG
This is a long non-coding RNA of Psammomys obesus (fat sand rat), 1790 nucleotides long. RefSeq lists it as uncharacterized. The record is from RefSeq and is a predicted model, not a curated record. Lineage: Eukaryota; Metazoa; Chordata; Mammalia; Rodentia; Muridae. The transcript has 7 exons.